RNAcentral lists this ribosomal RNA (253 nucleotides) under uncultured bacterium. RNAcentral describes it as "partial 16S ribosomal RNA". It matches the Rfam family "Bacterial small subunit ribosomal RNA", at positions 524 to 776 of the family's 1533-position model. The record is from RNAcentral.
UACAGAGGGGGCAAGCGUUAUUCGGAAUUACUGGGCGUAAAGUGUGCGCAGGCGGCAGAGCAAGUCGAGUGUGAAAGCCCCGGGCUUAACUUGGGAAUUGCGCUCGAAACUACUUUGCUGGAGUGUGGCAGAGGAAGGUGGAAUUCCACGUGUAGCGGUGAAAUGCGUAGAGAUGUGGAGGAACACCAAUGGCGAAGGCAGCCUUCUGGGCCAACACUGACGCUCAUGCACGAAAGCGUGGGGAGCAAACAGG